Molecule: long non-coding RNA, 458 nt
Organism: Marmota flaviventris (yellow-bellied marmot)
Lineage: Eukaryota; Metazoa; Chordata; Mammalia; Rodentia; Sciuridae
Source: RefSeq, a predicted model, not a curated record
CCAGGACUCUGUUGAUGACCUGGAUCACACCUCUGUGUUACCAGUUCCCAGGAAGGCUCGCCCUGCUGUUAGGAGGCACAGGGUGUGAGAGCUCAGAGUCCAGAGCUUCUCGCUCAGGUUACUCUUGGGUUGAAGAGGCGAAGUGAUUUUCUCCAGUCACACACCACUUAGGGUUGGAAGCAGAGCCUUUGGAAGCUCUGGUGUCUCAGACCAGAGCCCUCUAUACCAGUGGACCCCAUGCCUCUGACUAUGUGGAGCACUUCAAAGUCAAAGCUGUCACCUUGGACCUCAAGGGCACCUGAUCUUAACCAGGAUGGGCACGUUAUCUCUGCUUGUCUUCAAGAAGAGAAAUUUCUGAACUUCCUAUUAUAUCUUCCCUUUGAUCAAGGGGAAAAGGAAAAAGAAAAGAAAAAAUCUCGAGUGUCUAGAAUCGGCCCCCAAAUAAAGAAUCCUUCUUA